This 393-nucleotide ribosomal RNA is filed under the name uncultured bacterium. RNAcentral's name for it is "partial 16S ribosomal RNA". It matches the Rfam family "Bacterial small subunit ribosomal RNA", at positions 523 to 918 of the family's 1533-position model. The record is from RNAcentral.
AUACGGAAGGUCCGGGCGUUAUCCGGAUUUAUUGGGUUUAAAGGGAGCGCAGGCCGAUGGUUAAGCGUGACGUGAAAUGUAGCCGCUCAACGGCUGAACUGCGUCGCGAACUGGCUGUCUUGAGUGAGUUCGAUGUGGGCGGAAUUCGUGGUGUAGCGGUGAAAUGCUUAGAUAUCACGAAGAACUCCGAUUGCGAAGGCAGCCCACAAGGCCUUUACUGACGCUAAAGCUCGAAGGUGCGGGUAUCGAACAGGAUUAGAUACCCUGGUAGUCCGCACGGUAAACGAUGGAUGCCCGCUGUUUGCGAUAUACUGUGAGCGGCCAAGAGAAAUCGUUAAGCAUCCCACCUGGGGAGUACGCCGGCAACGGUGAAACUCAAAUGAAUUGACGGGG